This 355-nucleotide long non-coding RNA is filed under the name Phoenix dactylifera (date palm). Its description in RNAcentral is "long non-coding RNA (PDAC_LNC014123)". The record is from RNAcentral. Lineage: Eukaryota; Viridiplantae; Streptophyta; Magnoliopsida; Arecales; Arecaceae.
CAGCUCAUCUCCUCCAUGUUGAUUCUCCCAUAUCCAGCUUCUACUCCACGUUCCGGAUUAGAUCACGAUCUCCCAGCACUCCGAAUCACCUCCCCUGUUCCGCGUCCAAGACAAGCAUUCCAUCCGCGUGUCUUCUCUCCCGUCCGCGAUUCAAGGAUGAUCUCCCAGCCAUUUCCUUCUUUCCAUGAGCCAAUCCAUAUCUUUUCCAACUCAUCCCAUUGAGAUCUUCUUCAGCCCGAAUUAGCUCCAAUUUCAGCGGUCUGCAAGGUGUCCACGAGUCCCAACUUCUUCCCGUUCGCAAUGGCUCUGCAUCCUUAUCUCUUCUUCGGAACAGAAUCCCAGCAUCCCGAGAUUC